UACAUUUGAUCCAAGGUAUCAGCAAACAUUAAAGAAAAGAAGAAGAUGAAGAAAAAUGAUGAGCAUCGAUCAAUGCAAAGAAAAUUAACAGGGAUCGAAGGUGGUUUGGUCUCCAGACAAGUUUUUUGGGUGCCCCGUGUUGGAAGCCAUUGGCUUUUUGUUAGUUGUGUGGGACAACACUGCCGUUAAAAGCCCAUGAAAUUGAGGUGUUACGUCGUCGAGGACUACUUGGAGAGGAGGCCGCGUGUGU
This is a non-coding RNA of Caenorhabditis elegans, 250 nucleotides long. The record is from Ensembl. Lineage: Eukaryota; Metazoa; Nematoda; Chromadorea; Rhabditida; Rhabditidae.